This is a non-coding RNA of Erinaceus europaeus (western European hedgehog), 128 nucleotides long. Lineage: Eukaryota; Metazoa; Chordata; Mammalia; Eulipotyphla; Erinaceidae. The record is from Rfam.
GAGCAGACUCGAUCCCUAACUGCACGGUAUUGCAGGAGUGAAGGGAACCAAGUUUGCUAAGGUCAUUGUGGUGGAUAGGAAUUCAGCCUCAGCAGCUGCUGAGGUGUCCGUUCUGUCCUGCUGUGUUU